UAAUAAGUGUUUUAUGGCACUUUUUAAAUCCAUAUCCACCUUGUGUGCAAUGUCAGUCGAUCUUCUUCAUGGAGAUCGACCAAACAUCAACCUUUAUUUUUUAACUCUUUGUCUGAAAAACAUUAUGAAUAAACAAUUCAAAAUA
RNAcentral lists this unclassified non-coding RNA (145 nucleotides) under soil metagenome. RNAcentral describes it as "partial internal transcribed spacer 1". The record is from RNAcentral.